UAGCUCAGUUGGGAGAGCGCUAGAAUCGCACUCUAGAGGUCGAGGGUUCGACUCCCU
Molecule: transfer RNA, 57 nt
Filed under: Candidatus Latescibacterota bacterium
Lineage: Bacteria; Pseudomonadati; Candidatus Latescibacterota
Description: Candidatus Latescibacteria bacterium (marine metagenome) tRNA-Ala
Rfam family: tRNA
About the family: Transfer RNA (tRNA) molecules are approximately 80 nucleotides in length. Their secondary structure includes four short double-helical elements and three loops (D, anti-codon, and T loops). Further hydrogen bonds mediate the characteristic L-shaped molecular structure. tRNAs have two regions of fundamental functional importance: the anti-codon, which is responsible for specific mRNA codon recognition, and the 3' end, to which the tRNAs corresponding amino acid is attached (by aminoacyl-tRNA synthetases). tRNAs cope with the degeneracy of the genetic code in two manners: having more than one tRNA (with a specific anti-codon) for a particular amino acid; and 'wobble' base-pairing, i.e. permitting non-standard base-pairing at the 3rd anti-codon position.
Source: RNAcentral